UAGGGAAUCUUCGGCAAUGGACGAAAGUCUGACCGAGCAACGCCGCGUGAGUGAAGAAGGUUUUCGGAUCGUAAAACUCUGUUGUUAGAGAAGAACAAGGACGUUAGUAACUGAACGUCCCCUGACGGUAUCUAACCAGAAAGCCACGGCUAACUACGUGCCAGCAGCCGCGGUAAUACGUAGGUGGCAAGCGUUGUCCGGAUUUAUUGGGCGUAACGCGAGCGCAGGCGGUUUCUUAAGUCUGAUGUGAAAUCCCCCGGCUCAACCGGGGAGGGUCAUUGGAAACUGGGAGACUUGAGUGCAGAAGAGGAGAGUGGAAUUCCAUGUGUAGCGGUGAAAUGCGUAGAUAUAUGGAGGAACACCAGUGGCGAAGGCGGCUCUCUGGUCUGUAACUGACGCUGAGGCUCGAAAGCGUGGGGAGCAAACAGG
This 429-nucleotide ribosomal RNA is filed under the name Gemmatimonadota bacterium. RNAcentral's name for it is "Gemmatimonadetes bacterium partial 16S ribosomal RNA". It matches the Rfam family "Bacterial small subunit ribosomal RNA", at positions 355 to 776 of the family's 1533-position model. Lineage: Bacteria; Pseudomonadati; Gemmatimonadota. The record is from RNAcentral.